This 522-nucleotide ribosomal RNA is filed under the name uncultured Glomeromycotina. RNAcentral's name for it is "SSU rRNA". It matches the Rfam family "Eukaryotic small subunit ribosomal RNA", at positions 569 to 1092 of the family's 1831-position model. The record is from RNAcentral. Lineage: Eukaryota; Fungi; Glomeromycota.
AGCAGCCGCGGUAAUUCCAGCUCCAAUAGCGUAUAUUAAAGUUGUUGCAGUUAAAAAGCUCGUAGUUGAAUUUCGGGGUUAGCAGGUCGGUCGUGCCAUUGGUAUGAACUGGUCUCGCUGAUCCCUCCCUCUUGACGAACUGUGAUGCCAUUAAUUUGGUGUCGCAGGGAAUCAGGACUGUUACUUUGAAAAAAUUAGAGUGUUUAAAGCAGGCUUUAGCUUGAAUACAUUAGCAUGGAAUAAUGAAAUAGGACGUUCGAACCUAUUUUGUUGGUUUCUAGGAUCAACGUAAUGAUUAAUAGGGAUAGUUGGGGGCAUUAGUAUUCAAUUGUCAGAGGUGAAAUUCUUGGAUUUAUUGAAGACUAACUACUGCGAAAGCAUUUGCCAAGGAUGUUUUCAUUAAUCAAGAACGAAAGUUAGGGGAUCGAAGACGAUCAGAUACCGUCGUAGUCUUAACCAUAAACUAUGCCGACUAGGGAUCGGAUGAUGUUAAUUUUUUAAUGACUCAUUCGGCGCCUUACG